Molecule: ribosomal RNA, 253 nt
Filed under: uncultured bacterium
Lineage: Bacteria
Description: partial 16S ribosomal RNA
Rfam family: Bacterial small subunit ribosomal RNA
Source: RNAcentral
UACAGAGGUCUCAAGCGUUGUUCGGAUUCAUUGGGCGUAAAGGGUGCGUAGGCGGCGCGGUAAGUCGGGUGUGAAAUCUCGGGGCUUAACUCCGAGACUGCAUUCGAUACUGCCGUGCUUGAGGACUGGAGAGGAGACUGGAAUUUACGGUGUAGCGGUGAAAUGCGUAGAUAUCGUAAGGAAGACCAGUGGCGAAGGCGGGUCUCUGGACAGUUACUGACGCUGAGGCACGAAGGUCAGGGGAGCAAACGGG